This 843-nucleotide unclassified non-coding RNA is filed under the name Stylophora pistillata. RNAcentral's name for it is "uncharacterized LOC111330086, transcript variant X1". The record is from RNAcentral. Lineage: Eukaryota; Metazoa; Cnidaria; Anthozoa; Scleractinia; Pocilloporidae.
ACUAUCAGAAAGGUUUAGCUGAUGUCCUCUUGCGUCUCUCAUUGUGUAGACAAUGGAGCCACUGUUUAAGGUCAAAUUUGCCGGGGACACACUGGUGAAGAGCCCGUACAAAGUUCCCCUUCAGAAGAUAUUCUACACUCCAUAAUAUCAAAAUAGCGGGGGCAUCAUUAGUGACAACUACUACUAGUGAUAUGUCGUAAUUCGGUAACACACAUGUGGGCAGCAGAGUAGAAAUACUCUUGGGAAGAGGUUAUUUUUUCCACGGCAUCGAAAUUCAAAAUGGCUGCCGAAGGGCAGGGAUCUCAACAUCGAAAACCGAGUUAAAGAAAGCUUCCUUCCAUGGGGGAAUUAAUCAAUAUGGGUAUGGAACUUUUGGGUAUUGGAAGAAAGAAACCACGCAAAAAAACGCAUUAGAAGUUCAGCACAGAUCCUAUUACUGGGAUACGCAAUAAAAACAAAGGAAACUAUUCUAGUCGGCUACAGAAGCAACGGAGAAAGACCUCUAAUGAUGGCAGAUUAAUCCCCAUUCAUUGCGCUGAAUUUUGUCUAGAAGAGAAGCAUGCAUACGAUUCAAUGCGCUGUAAUUUCGUGAAUGGUAAUAAAACACCACAUGCCGAUUUUUAAAUACAAAGUCGAAGUUCUCAAAAUGAUGCCACAUUCUAACCAAAAAUAAUUCGCUUGAACGAUAACUAAUAAUCGCACGUAUAAUCGAUGAGUUUGCAGUCACCUACCAAAUUAGUCAUGUUCGGUUUUUAUCAUAAGGAAAAUAGCUUUUCACCUGCUAAUAUCCACCACCUUUGUUUCAAAUGAUAAAAAAAAUAUCAAUAGAUAUAAGCUACAUAU